AAACGUCUACAAUGGCAGCGCAGCCAGCAGCCACGCGGCCUUGGCCACCCCCGAGCUCACGGCCGCAGCUCGGCCCGGGCCCCCUGGACGUCCGCCCUGGGCAGGGGCCGCCGCCUCCGAACGCAUCUCUGCCUCCCUAGGACGAGGCAGCCGAGGGAGGAGAGCGGCCAGGACUGCGCUGUGGCUGGACGGCGGAUGAGGCUUCUUUCAACAAGCUGCUGCCCUGGGCGCACUGCCUUGCGGGUCACUGUGGCUGCUCCUGUGCUUCAGCGGGACUAGAAGCUGCCGCCCACGGGCAGCGGGGAAGAAAUCUGGGCAAAGCCAUGAGCCCUCCGAGGCUGAGCUCCAGUUUAGGGGCUCACCUGCCUUGCAUCGUUCCGAGUCCUGUACUGGACUGCAUCAGGCCGCGUCUCCUCAGGGUGAGUACUUGUGGCCUCAGGGUAAAGGGCUUUUCUCAGGACGCGAGGCCAUUGCUGGGAGAGGCAGAUUAGGCUGGGGAUCCGGACUCCGUUCCUAGCAUCUGCUACCUCAGGACGGAGACGAACAUGCUAUAAAAUGUUUAACCGUGUGAUAACAACUCUCCUAGAAAGGAAAGGGGAUGCCCCUGAGGAGACUCGGUGCUCCCCACAGAACUCCCCAGCGAUCCCAGAUGGGAGAAGCUGAGCUGCGCGGGCGCUGCCCUCACUCCGGGGGUGAAACGUGGCUGUGAUUUCCACAGGUGACAGAAACCAGGCAGUGAUUCAACUCGUAUUUGACUUUCACAUUCUCCAGCAAUGUUCUUCAAUCUGGGAAGGGUAGAAAAUUAAAGAAAGGUAAGGAGAGUUAAAAAAUGAGAUCAUUUCAAAGUAGAUGCAGUCUUGAAGCCCAAAUGAAUUACGAGAUCCAGUUUGAAAGCUGCUGCAGAAGUGAUUUCAGAAUCGCGCGGUGGCUCCGGAAUGGGGAACUGCUGCUGAAAGAGGUCGGAAAGGGUGGGGACUGAAUUUCGGGUAAGAGGACGCCAGUGGUUCUGGAGCACGCGGCCUUCAGCCAUGCCUGCGUUCACAAGUACAUUAUUUCAGACUCACUCCAAGUUUACAUCUCUAAGCCCAUCCAAGCCAUGGCAGCGCGAACCUCUCCCUCCCCCAGCUCAAGGCCUCUGGGCCCCCAGGACAGAGGACAGAAGAGCCAGCCCCUCCUGGCUCAGGGUUGCCGGGACCCCGUGAUGGCUGCUGUGCCUCUCCUGAGGUGCCAGGUGAGAGCUGAGACUUCUGCUCCCGCUGCACCAGCUCCGUUUGUCUCCAGGCGCAGUGUCAGUCUCGUUCUUUAAGCGCUUCUGAGGUCCCAUCAGCACAGGUCUCGUCUUACCUGGAAAGGCUUGUUGCCUUGUGCCUGGGACUUUUUAUUCUGUGCUUUUCUUCUGGAUAUUAAAUUUCAUAUCCACGCUUGCUUGUCACUCAGACCUUAUUGCCCUCUCCCUCCCAUUGGAACACUCUAGUCAUUUCUGUUUUCAACUGUAAACCAGUCUCAUUCAUGGUGAGAAAUUAAUGCUCCCUGGGUGUGGUCAGCAGACGGUAUCAAACCAUGCAAUCUUUUAAGGUCCAUUCAAACACAGACCUCCAAAAUGAUUUAUUGUUACACAUAUUAUGGUCAUAAGGCGUUUUCAAAUCAUAGGUAAACAGGACAGUGUAUGUGUGCAAAAGAAUGAUUGUGCCCAGAAAUCUCGGUAAACAGGUCAACUAAGAGCCCAAAAUAUAUUUCUAGAGUGCUUACACCCAGAAGUGAGUACUGAUUUGCUUUUAAUUAAUAUUUGGAAUGAAUGGGGUGCCAGGAGGACCCAAGUAUGAAGUAUUUAUGUGGGUGGUGAGACUAGGAGUGAUUUUGUUGUGUUUUUAUAUUUUAAAAAUUUUCUAAAAUGAAUGUGCAUUUAGUCCUCUAAAAAUAUAAGUGGUGUCCCAUUUAACAGUGCUACCAGUUGGAAAAAGGGAUUAACCCUAUUUACCCAAUUUAUUGUAUAUAAAGUUGUUGCUGUCAUUGUUGAAAUUAGGUGCUGCUAGAUUGUGCAAGUAUCAAAGUUCAAAAAAAGUGGGUCAUCUGAUUGGUUGUUGAUCACUGCAACAGCAAAGUUCUAGGCAAUUAAUGUUUUUGUUACUUUUGAAACAUAAGGGCAAGGAAUUAACAAAAAGUGUGUGGGACAGGGACAACUCCUCCCCUCUGGCCUCAUAACAAUGUUCUUGAAGUUUGCUUUUUCUUCUCUACCACUUGCAUUUGCUAAGCAGAAAGUGUUGGGGUGUGUACUCCACAGGAGUGGUUCACUGAGGUGAUGCUGCCCUGCACCAGCACCCUGAGGUGAGGAGACUGCUUUGGGGCAGGCAAGGGGCCAGGAGAGAGCAAACAAGUAUUAUUUUUCCUGUGUGUAGACUCAUAUUUAAUAAUUGUUGAAGAAAAAAGCCUUAACACCACAUGUAGCAAGUUUUAAUAGAGUUUUCUGAUUACCUUGGUCCCAUGGCUGACCAGUGACCGCCAUUAUGCCUGCAGAGAUGGGAUGGUGAGCCAUCAUUUCUCCUUCCUCUUUCCUGAAACUAGUUCUGAUACCAUCAGUGGCUUAGUCUCUAUAUGUCCAUCAGAUCCUGCCCAAUGCUGGGGACAAAACAUGAAUGAAAUGGAGUUACCCCUCAAAGAGCUCCCAGCUCUAAAGCCAUGAUCCUGUGCUCCAUCAAUACACAGGAGCAAGGGGGAAGGCAGAUGUUCCAGGAGGAGCAGAGAAGGCUUCACAGAGGGAGGCAGCACAGCCGACCUCAAGUGUGAAGGGAAGCUGCAGGGGAAGUGCAGAGCAGUCCCUUUCAGGCCAAGCAACAGCACAAAAUACCUUUGAGACAUAGACAUAUGAGAGGCACAGCUCAUUUGAGGAGCAUUGAAGAGUUUAGGGGCACAGAAUUAGACUUCAGGGUUAAGUUCAGGACCUGGGAUCAGAGUCUGGUAAGUUUAAAGGUUCUUGAAAUAAUUCUAGUAAAUAAAUAAAUGUGGUAAGACAGUGCAGCAGUACAGGUGCAGAAGCUUCAGAAGCCGUCCUUUCUCCUCUCCUCAUCCUCUUCCUUCCCUCUCAGCCCUAAACUGAGGCAGAGCGAAGAGGGCUCCAACUGGCAGAGGAAGAACUGGUGGGGCUUGGAGUUGGCUGUGGAGCCAAGCAGGGUGGUGAGGAAGGGUCCCCUGGGGAAGGUGAGAAUGGCCCCUGUCAGUGUGAGUGGGGCUGGGAGGCUGAGAGG
RNAcentral lists this long non-coding RNA (3242 nucleotides) under Homo sapiens (human). Its description in RNAcentral is "HSALNT0395454". The record is from RNAcentral. Lineage: Eukaryota; Metazoa; Chordata; Mammalia; Primates; Hominidae.